Molecule: non-coding RNA, 1844 nt
Organism: Chiloscyllium plagiosum (whitespotted bambooshark)
Lineage: Eukaryota; Metazoa; Chordata; Chondrichthyes; Orectolobiformes; Hemiscylliidae
Source: RefSeq, a predicted model, not a curated record
GAGGAGAGAAACUAUCUGCUAAUCCCUCCCACACCCUUUCAGUUUCUGGGUGGCAGGUUGCAUAAACAGUGCACUGAACAACCAGCAAACAAAAAUUGGUGCCUCCGAUCAAGAGAGAUCGGUAAAUCACUUCAGUUUUAUGCUGGGAAAAAGAACGCAAAUUCUCCUGAUCCAACAGUUUGGAGAGGGAGCACGAUUCCCGAGCUGUGGUCAGCUUCUGCGGAAAGGCUUCAAUCUUUCACUGAACUUGCUGGGUGUGGCCUUGUAGAUCAGUGUUUAAGAAGCCAACCAGAAAAGCUGGGGAUUUACUGUCAAAAUCAGCUGCUGAGCAAGUUGCUGAAUACAACAGGGACAGAAUGGCAGAGGACCCCAAGAUCGAGCUGUUCAUUAAGGCCAGUGACGAUGGUGAGUCCAUUGGGAAUUGUCCAUUCUCCCAACGCUUGUUCAUGAUCCUGUGGUUAAAGAAAGUUGCUUUCACCAUUAACACAGUGGAUAUGAAGAGGAAUCCAGACAUGCUCAAGGAUAUUGCACCAGGGAGUCAGCUGCCUGUCCUCAUUUACAACGGUGAUCUUAAGACAGAUAACAACAAAAUAGAAGAAUUUCUGGAGGAGGUUCUCGCCCCUCCCAAAUAUCCUAGACUGAGUGCCAGAUACAAAGAAUCCAUGACUGCAGGCUACAGUGUCUUCCAGAAAUUCUCAGCUUACGUUAAGAAUCCACUUCCUGAAAAGAAUCAAGCUUGCGAGACAGCGUUUCUGAAAGCGUUAGUGGAGCUGGAUCAAUAUCUGAACACCCCACUGCCACAUGAAGAUGGGAGUUACCCGUCAAAGAGGUUAUUCCUGGAUGGAAAUGAGCUGACAUUGGCUGACUGCAAUCUCCUACCCAAACUCCACGUGGUUCAGGUUGUGUGCAAGCAUUAUCGGAAUUUUACAAUCCCGAAGGAGCUUUCAGGCCUGUGCAGAUACCUGAACCAUGCGGAGAAAUGUGAGGAAUUCAUGAAUACCUGCCCGAAUGAAGAGGAGAUCAAGUUAGCAUAUCGAAAUGUUGCUAAAUAUUCAGAUAGAUGUGGAGCAAAAUCGGUAACAGGGAGAUGAUGUCUCCCAGUUGGAGAUUUAAACUAUCAACCUUUGACCGAAUGCAACAUUCUUAUGUACAUCUCCAACUUCUACUGCUGGAUUUUGUGUUUAUUUGAACUUUCCAUUCCUGAUAGGGAAUUGAGAUUCACUGCAAAACUACAUUCAUGAAACCUGCUACAGUGGCCCAGUUCCUCUAGGUCUCUUCUAAUUGACAUCUCAGAAAUGAGGGGUUUGUGCAACAGGGUUAAUGUUUGUAUGUUAUAAUACAAUUCCCUCAAAGUCUCAACUUUGCCUAAUAAUGAUUUUACACAGUUUAUAGCAAGUCAUUCUUUCGAUCAAUAGUGCACUUUUAAGGUGAGGAUUCCAUUCAUCUGACAUUAACUCUGCAUAAAGACCUCCUCACAAAACGCUACUGAAUUCUCCAUCCUUGAACUAUUGCCAAUGCAUCUGAAAAAAAAUGUUUAAAUUGAAGCUACAAAAAAUGAAUGACAAGAAGGACGCUGCAUGAGUUGUAUUCUGUGGCAAGUCCUUUAACGUGAGAAAAUGUCGCAUUGCAGCCACGACAGUCGAUCAGCUGAUUCUUCUAUUCUUACAAACACGUGGUCAAUAGGUCCUGGAAUGGGGCUUGAACCCAGAGAAUCUGGCUCAGAAGCAGAAAUACCACCCACUGUGCCAUAAGAACUACAGUUAAAUAAAUUCAAUGCUCAUGAAAUGAUUAGUGGUGUAGCUGCAUUGCUUGUAUAUCUUAAAUAAAACCCUGUAUGAACUCCA